GUGGGGAAUUUUGGACAAUGGGGGCAACCCUGAUCCAGCCAUUCCGCGUGAGUGAAGAAGGCCUUCGGGUUGUAAAGCUCUUUCGUCAGGAACGAAACGGCGGGCUCUAACAUAGCCUGUUAAUGACGGUACCUGAAGAAGAAGCACCGGCUAACUACGUGCCAGCAGCCGCGGUAAUACGUAGGGUGCGAGCGUUAAUCGGAAUUACUGGGCGUAAAGCGUUCGCAGGCGGAUUGUUAAGCAAGACGUGAAAUCCCCGGGCUUAACCUGGGAAUGGCGUUUUGAACUGGCAGUCUAGAGUGCGUCAGAGGGGGGUGGAAUUCCACGUGUAGCAGUGAAAUGCGUAGAGAUGUGGAGGAACACCGAUGGCGAAGGCAGCCCCCUGGGAUGACACUGACGCUCAUGUACGAAAGCGUGGGUAGCAAACAGGAUUAGAUACCCGGGUAGUCC
RNAcentral lists this ribosomal RNA (450 nucleotides) under uncultured bacterium. RNAcentral's name for it is "partial 16S ribosomal RNA". It matches the Rfam family "Bacterial small subunit ribosomal RNA", at positions 354 to 796 of the family's 1533-position model. The record is from RNAcentral.